CGGAUUUCUUCAUCUGCGUGGUUUUCUGGAGAGUCCAGACUGCAGACUGCAGACUCAGAGGUUGAUCAACUGCAGAUUGUCAAAGAUCAGCUGUGCUGCUCUGGUCACAACUCUGAAUUUAAACCCGUCCCACCUGACAGAACUGGACCUGAGAGACAACAACCUUCAGUCUUCAGAUGUUCAGCAGCUCCAGGAUCUGGUGGAGAGUCCAAACUCCAAACUGCAGACUCUGAGGUGGGAGGGAAAGGGCAGGAGAAUCUGAGGUUCCUCCUGAUGGAUCAGAGAGAAGCAGCAGCACUGAUGGAGAACUGCACUUCAUCUUCUCAUUCUAACUUGGAGUGUUGGGAAGUCUUCUGCUUCUCUUCUCUCUCGUAUUUGGAGCUUCUCUUAACUUUGUCCACUCACUCUUGCUGUAGUUUUCUCCUCAUGUGUCCUGAAACUGUUUCUCUGAAUGAUCUGUGUUGGUGAUUCAUCAGAUUCAGACAUGAUGGUUUCCUGCUGGAGUGGACCAGCAUUCUCUGAACAUCCUUCAGCUGAUCCAGAAAGCAGCAGCAUGGCUGUUGACCAAAGAAAGAAAACCUUCCAGCAGUUCUGGCCUCAGGAUUCUCCAUCUGGGAGCAUUUUGGUUCUUCUUUUUCAUCUUUAUCAGACCUUUCAGAACCACAAAGUGGACUGAGUUCCUCUGAUAAAGGCUGCUGGGUUUUGUAUUUUGCUCAUUAUUUUACAGGAUGUUGUUCUAUUGUAACCAUGGUAACUGUGGGAACCGCACUCCUGUUUACUCUGAGUCCUGAAGCAGAAAUCCCACCAGAACUAACAAAAGUCUCUCAGUUGAAUCAUUUUUAUAUCAUCUCUGUUCUGUUGAUGAUAAAAUAUUGACUCAUGCAGUUUGAAAGAAUCACAGUUUUAGUUUGAUUUUUUCUACAGUUUGAUGAUUGAACUUCCUUUUUCUUUGUUGUUUUCUGGGUAAAACUCUGUUCUUUUUCAUGCUGACAGCAUUUUUAUCUGCAGUUUUUAAGAAGUUUCAUCUAAAUCCAGUAGAAUCUGAUCAUUUUCUAGAAAGUCUGAAACUAGUAGAAACUUUCUGAGCAUAAAGCCUGUUUUCUCCAUGAAUGAACAGAGUGGAUGUUAAUGAGGAAUGACAGAGAAUCACUUUGAUGCAGCUGCUGCAACAACACUAACUGCAUUGAAGCAGGAGGGAGAAAGGAGACACCUGCUGGCUGUUUCCAGAACUGCAUCUUAGUGUCUAAAGGUUCAAACUGAAAGCUGUCUGUCAAAUUCCUGCAGCCUGUUUGGAUCUAAUAAAUGCUCUUUUGAAUCAA
Molecule: long non-coding RNA, 1319 nt
Organism: Oryzias melastigma (Indian medaka)
Lineage: Eukaryota; Metazoa; Chordata; Actinopteri; Beloniformes; Adrianichthyidae
Exons: 3
Source: RefSeq, a predicted model, not a curated record